Dendroctonus ponderosae (mountain pine beetle) is the source of this 374-nucleotide long non-coding RNA. RefSeq lists it as uncharacterized. The record is from RefSeq and is a predicted model, not a curated record. The transcript has 2 exons. Lineage: Eukaryota; Metazoa; Arthropoda; Insecta; Coleoptera; Curculionidae.
GGGGCCAACCAUGAUCGAACAAAUAAUUCUAAACACAAAAACCGUUUGAAUAGAUUGAGAUUGAGUUUGAAGUCCUUUUGGGUGCUUUAGUAAAACAGCAGCCAAACUCAUGCAAGUAAAUGAUCAGUUUCUGGAGAACGAACAUGAUAGAUCUAGCUAUGAUCGGAAAAAGCAUUGGGCUGGCGAUGUAAUCUGAUAACUGUAUGGCAAACAUGAGUGUUGAAUGGCUAUUUCUGAAUCUUUGUGAGUUUUUCAACUAAGGCUGUGCGUACAUUGCAUAUGUAUUCAAAUGUACUCAAAUAGGUGCGUUUAAUUAGUAAGCACUUAUACAGUUGCAGCAUACUAGCAACGCCAAUAAAGGGGAUAUUCAUCGA